Molecule: ribosomal RNA, 465 nt
Filed under: uncultured bacterium
Lineage: Bacteria
Description: partial 16S ribosomal RNA
Rfam family: Bacterial small subunit ribosomal RNA
Source: RNAcentral
CUACGGGUUGCUGCAGUGGGGAAUAUUGCGCAAUGGGCGAAAGCCUGACGCAGCAACGCCGUGUGAGGGAUGAAGGCUUUCGGGUCGUAAACCUCUGUCAGAAGGGAAGAACGGGUAUUGGUCUAAUAGGCCUUUAUUUUGACGGUACCUUCAGAGGAAGCACCGGCUAACUCCGUGCCAGCAGCCGCGGUAAUACGGAGGGUGCAAGCGUUAUUCGGAAUUACUGGGCGUAAAGCGCACGUAGGCCGCUUUGUAAGUCAGGGGUGAAAUCCCACGGCUCAACCGUGGAACUGCCUUUGAAACUGCAGAGCUUGAAUCCUGGAGGGGGUGGCGGAAUUCCUGGUGUAGGAGUGAAAUCCGUAGAUAUCAGGAGGAACACCGGUGGCGAAGGCGGCCACCUGGACAGGUAUUGACGCUGAGGUGCGAAAGUGUGGGGAGCAAACAGGAUUAGAUACCCCAGUAGUC